RNAcentral lists this long non-coding RNA (837 nucleotides) under Pan troglodytes (chimpanzee). Its description in RNAcentral is "lincRNA". The record is from RNAcentral. Lineage: Eukaryota; Metazoa; Chordata; Mammalia; Primates; Hominidae.
GAUUCCACCUACAGCAAAGCUGGAUGCUAUGGUUGGCAGAGGCAAACCCUUUGCCUGCACUUCAGGCCAAAGCCGGGAUGUGGCCUAGAUGGUUCCUAAGGUCCCUGACAAUCCUGAGAUCUUGCAUCUUGUCUAUUUCAGGUCAAAGGUGCCUACAUGUUCCUUCUAGCUUUGUUUCCCUGAUGUUCCUUGCCACCUGCUACUCCUCUCUGAGCUACUUUUCCAGGUUCCACAGGGAGAGGUUCAGCUGUCCGUGGUAGACAUGAGGGUAGAGAAUGAGGUGGUUGGGUUCCACUUACCUUUCUAUCAUCUUGCAGUAUGGAUGUCUCUUGACUGGUACCAUGUAGACUUUUGAGGGCACACAGGAGUCUGCAGAGAGAUACUGGGGACAUUGAGUAGCAGCGGUGGGGUUGGGAGGCAGAAAUGAGGACAGGAACAUUUACCUUGUGUUUCUCUCAGCUUCUCAGAUGACCAAGAUGGUGCUGCAGAUGGUGCUGAGGAUGGAGAACCCACCAAGCCCCGCUAGGAGCCACCUAGACUGGAUGUAGAGCAUGGCUAAAACCUUUGAAGAGGAAUUUAUUAUAUCCUACAAACCUGGGAGGCAGAGGUUGCAGUGAGCCAAGAUUGGGCCAUCGCACUCCAGCCUGGGCAAUAAGAAUGAAACUCUGUCUCAAAAAAACAAAAGUUGGCUAGGGCUGGGCGUGGUGGCUCACACCUGUAAUCCCAGCACUUUGGGAGGCUAAAGCAGGUGGAUCACCUGAGGUCAGAAGUACGAGACCAUCCUGGCUAAUAUGGUGAAACCCCAUCUCUACUAAAAAUAUGAAAAAAGAAAAAAAA